ACAACACUGGCCAGGUCGACCAUAACACUCUCCCCACUGUGGAGAGCCCUACAUACUGCUCUCUAUGUACAGUCGUGGCCAAAAGUUUUGAGGAACAGUUUGGUGAUGAACAAUGCCUUUUCCAGCAUGAUGGAGCACCUUGUCACAAGGCAAAAGUGAUAUCUAAGUGGCUCGGGGAACAAAACAUCGAUAUUUGGGGUCCAUGGUCAGGGAACUCCCCAGACCAUAAUCCCAUUGAGAACUUGUGGUCAAUCCUCAAGAGGCGGGUGGACAAACAUAAACCCUCAAAUUCUGACAAACUCCAAGCUUUGAUUAUGUAAGAAUGGGCUGCCAUCAGUCAGGAUGUGGCCCAGAAGUUAAUUGACAGCAUGUCAUCAGUCAGGAUGUGGCCCAGAAGUUAAUUGACAGCAUGCCAUCAGUCAGGAUGUGGCCCAGAAGUUAAUUGGCAGCAUGCCAUCAGUCAGGAUGUGGCCCAGAAGUUAAUUGGCAGCAUGCCAUCAGUCAGGAUGUGGCCCAGAAGUUAAUUGACAGCAUGCCAUCAGUCAGGAUGUGGCCCAGAAGUUAACUGACAGCAUGCCAUCAGUCAGGAUGUGGCCCAGAAGUUAAUUGGCAGCAUGCCAUCAGUCAGGAUGUGGCCCAGAGGUUAAUUGACAGCAUGCCAUCAGUCAGGAUGUGGCCCAGAAGUUAACUGACAGCAUGCCAUCAGUCAGGAUGUGGCCCAGAAGUUAAUUGGCAGCAUGCCAUCAGUCAGGAUGUGGCCCAGAAGUUAAUUGACAGCAUGCCAUCAGUCAGGAUGUGGCCCAGAGGUUAAUUGACAGCAUGCCAUCAGUCAGGAUGUGGCCCAGAAGUUAAUUGGCAGCAUGCCAUCAGUCAGGAUGUGGCCCAGAAGUUAAUUGACAGCAUGCCAUCAGUCAGGAUGUGGCCCAGAAGUUAAUUGACAGCAUACCAGGGUGGAUUGCAGAGGUCUUGAAAAAGAAGGCUCAACACUGCAAAUAUUGACUCUUUGCAUCAACUUCAUGUAAUUGUCAAUAAAAGCCUUUGACACUUAUGAAAUGCUUUGUAAUUAUACUUCAAUAUUCCAUAGUAACAUCUGACAAAAAUAUCUAAACAUACUGAGGCAGCAGACUUUGUGGAAAUUGAUAUUUGUGUCAUUCUCAAAACUUUUGGCCAUGACUGUACACUACAAUCUGUGAAAGUAGA
Molecule: long non-coding RNA, 1200 nt
Organism: Oncorhynchus keta (chum salmon)
Lineage: Eukaryota; Metazoa; Chordata; Actinopteri; Salmoniformes; Salmonidae
Exons: 3
Source: RefSeq, a predicted model, not a curated record